Molecule: ribosomal RNA, 340 nt
Filed under: uncultured eukaryote
Lineage: Eukaryota
Description: partial 18S ribosomal RNA
Rfam family: Eukaryotic small subunit ribosomal RNA
Source: RNAcentral
CCCUUAGAUGUUCGGGGCCGCACGCGCGCUACACUGAAGGACUCAGCGUGUCUCUCCCCCUAUCCCGAAAGGGAUGGGCAACCCGUUGAACCUCCUUCGUGCUAGGGAUUGGGGUUUGCAAUUAUCCCCCAUGAACGAGGAAUUCCCAGUAAGCGCGAGUCAUCAGCUCGCGUUGAUUACGUCCCUGCCCUUUGUACACACCGCCCGUCGCUACUACCGAUUGGAUGGUUUAGUGAGACCCUCGGGUCGGUCCCGACUCGGGGUGGGCUUCUGCCCCGGUCGUGGUUUCGCCGAGAAGACGGUCAAACUUGACUAUCUAGAGGAAGUAAAAGGCGUAACA